CUCUUCCCUCAUUUCUUUCCACAUUCCUGUUUUCCAACGCCCACUCUUACCUGCUUAGCACUCAGCUUCACUGUCUCAUUGAACACAGUCCAGAUGACACCCUGGCUGCAGGGAGGUGUGGUCAGAGACCCUUCAUAUCGGUAGUAGCGACUGAGGUCCGAGGGCAACAGUGCAGAUACAUCCAAACCUGGGAUCUCAAUCUUGGAGCCUACAGGACAGGGUCUCUGUUGGGGUCUCACCUAGAUCACCCCCAACUCAGAAGCUUCCGGGACAAGCAUAGUUUCGCUGCUUCUCACUAUGUGUGGUUAAUGCAUAAAGGAAGUAAAGGGCUUUGGACAUUAGAGGAGGCCAUCUCUCCAGCCUCAAGAAAAAAGCUCGUAAGCCCUCCUUUGGCACCUUUGAUCAUCCGAAUACACAACUAUACCAGGCAGGACUGCUGACUUAAGCCCAGACUGGAAUAAAAUGGAAUUGGGAUAUAGCCAAUA
Molecule: long non-coding RNA, 485 nt
Filed under: Rattus norvegicus (Norway rat)
Lineage: Eukaryota; Metazoa; Chordata; Mammalia; Rodentia; Muridae
Description: long non-coding RNA NONRATT023187
Source: RNAcentral